Molecule: ribosomal RNA, 253 nt
Filed under: uncultured bacterium
Lineage: Bacteria
Description: partial 16S ribosomal RNA
Rfam family: Bacterial small subunit ribosomal RNA
Source: RNAcentral
UACGUAGGGGGCAAGCGUUGUCCGGAAUCAUUGGGCGUAAAGCGCGUGUAGGCGGUCCGGUAAGUCAGAUGUGAAAGCCCAGGGCUCAACCCUGGAAUUGCAUCCGAUACUGCCAUGCUGGAGUACUGAAGAGGUGACUAGAAUUCUCGGUGUAGCAGUGAAAUGCGUAGAUAUCGAGAGGAAUACCAAAGGCGAAGGCAGGUCACUGGGCAGUUACUGACACUGAGGCACGAAGGCCAGGGGAGCAAACGGG